Molecule: ribosomal RNA, 368 nt
Filed under: Streptomyces rapamycinicus
Lineage: Bacteria; Bacillati; Actinomycetota; Actinomycetes; Kitasatosporales; Streptomycetaceae
Description: bacterial SSU rRNA
Rfam family: Bacterial small subunit ribosomal RNA
Source: RNAcentral
GCCCUGCACUCUGGGACAAGCCCUGGAAACGGGGUCUAAUACCGGAUACGACUACCGACCGCAUGGUCUGGUGGUGGAAAGCUCCGGCGGUGCAGGAUGAGCCCGCGGCCUAUCAGCUUGUUGGUGGGGUGAUGGCCUACCAAGGCGACGACGGGUAGCCGGCCUGAGAGGGCGACCGGCCACACUGGGACUGAGACACGGCCCAGACUCCUACGGGAGGCAGCAGUGGGGAAUAUUGCACAAUGGGCGAAAGCCUGAUGCAGCGACGCCGCGUGAGGGAUGACGGCCUUCGGGUUGUAAACCUCUUUCAGCAGGGAAGAAGCGCAAGUGACGGUACCUGCAGAAGAAGCGCCGGCUAACUACGUGCC